RNAcentral lists this ribosomal RNA (492 nucleotides) under uncultured bacterium. RNAcentral's name for it is "partial 16S ribosomal RNA". It matches the Rfam family "Bacterial small subunit ribosomal RNA", at positions 29 to 507 of the family's 1533-position model. The record is from RNAcentral.
AGUGAACGCUGGCGGUAGGCCUAACACAUGCAAGUCGAACGGCAGCACAGUAAGAGCUUGCUCUUACGGGUGGCGAGUGGCGGACGGGCGAGGAAUACAUCGGAAUCUACUUUUUCGUGGGGGAUAACGCAGGGAAACUUACGCUAAUACCGCAUACGACCUACGGGUGAAAGCAGGGGAUCUUCGGACCUUGCGCGAUUGAAUGAGCCGAUGUCGGAUUAGCUAGUUGGCGGGGUAAAGGCCCACCAAGGCGACGAUCCGUAGCUGGUCUGAGAGGAUGAUCAGCCACACUGGAACUGAGACACGGUCCAGACUCCUACGGGAGGCAGCAGUGGGGAAUAUUGGACAAAGGGCGCAAGCCUGAUCCAGCCAUACCGCGUGGGUGAAGAAGGCCUUCGGGUUGUAAAGCCCUUUUGUUGGGAAAGAAAACCAGCAGGUUAAUACCCCGCUGUUCUGACGGUACCCAAAGAAUAAGCACCGGCUAACUUCGUG